GACGAACGCUGGCGGCGUGCCUAAUACAUGCAAGUAGAACGCUGAAGGAGGAGCUUGCUUCUCUGGAUGAGUUGCGAACGGGUGAGUAACGCGUAGGUAACCUGCCUGGUAGCGGGGGAUAACUAUUGGAAACGAUAGCUAAUACCGCAUAGGAGUAGAUGUUGCAUGACAUUUGCUUAAAAGGUGCAAUUGCAUCACUACCAGAUGGACCUGCGUUGUAUUAGCUAGUUGGUGAGGUAACGGCUCACCAAGGCGACGAUACAUAGCCGACCUGAGAGGGUGAUCGGCCACACUGGGACUGAGACACGGCCCAGACUCCUACGGGAGGCAGCAGUAGGGAAUCUUCGGCAAUGGACGGAAGUCUGACCGAGCAACGCCGCGUGAGUGAAGAAGGUUUUCGGAUCGUAAAGCUCUGUUGUAAGAGAAGAACGAGUGUGAGAGUGGAAAGUUCACACUGUGACGGUAUCUUACCAGAAAGGGACGGCUAACUACGUG
RNAcentral lists this ribosomal RNA (495 nucleotides) under uncultured bacterium. Its description in RNAcentral is "partial 16S ribosomal RNA". It matches the Rfam family "Bacterial small subunit ribosomal RNA", at positions 28 to 507 of the family's 1533-position model. The record is from RNAcentral.